UACGUAGAGUGCAAGCGUUGUCCGGAAUUAUUGGGCGUAAAGGGUACGCAGGCGGAUAGUAAAGUCAAGCGUGAAAGGUGUCGGCUUAACCGACAGACUGCGUUUGAAACUGAGUUAUCUUGAGUGUAACAGAGGACGAGUGGAAGUUCCUAGUGUAGUAGGUGAAAUACGUAGAUAUUAGGAAGAACACCAGUGGCGAAGGGCGACUCUCUGGGUUAACACUGACGCUGAGGUACGAAAGCUGGGGGAGCAAACGGGAUUAGAUACCCGGACGUA
Molecule: ribosomal RNA, 276 nt
Filed under: uncultured bacterium
Lineage: Bacteria
Description: partial 16S ribosomal RNA
Rfam family: Bacterial small subunit ribosomal RNA
Source: RNAcentral